RNAcentral lists this ribosomal RNA (492 nucleotides) under uncultured bacterium. RNAcentral describes it as "partial 16S ribosomal RNA". It matches the Rfam family "Bacterial small subunit ribosomal RNA", at positions 29 to 507 of the family's 1533-position model. The record is from RNAcentral.
AGUGAACGCUGGCGGUAGGCCUAACACAUGCAAGUCGAACGGCAGCACAGUAAGAGCUUGCUCUUACGGGUGGCGAGUGGCGGACGGGUGAGGAAUACAUCGGAAUCUACUUUUUCGUGGGGGACAACGUAGGGAAACUUACGCUAAUACCGCAUACGACCUACGGGUGAAAGCAGGGGAUCUUCGGACCUUGCGCGAUUGAAUGAGCCGAUGUCGGAUUAGCUAGUUGGCGGGGUAAGGGCCCACCAAGGCGACGAUCCGUAGCUGGUCUGAGAGGAUGAUCAGCCACACUGGAACUGAGACACGGUCCAGACUCCUACGGGAGGCAGCAGUGGGGAAUAUUGGACAAUGGGCGCAAGCCUGAUCCAGCCAUACCGCGUGGGUGAAGAAGGCCUUCGGGUUGUAAAGCCCUUUUGUUGGGAAAGAAAAGCAGCAGGUUAAUACCCCGCUGUUCUGACGGUACCCAAAGAAUAAGCACCGGCUAACUUCGUG